RNAcentral lists this ribosomal RNA (252 nucleotides) under uncultured bacterium. RNAcentral describes it as "partial 16S ribosomal RNA". It matches the Rfam family "Bacterial small subunit ribosomal RNA", at positions 524 to 776 of the family's 1533-position model. The record is from RNAcentral.
UACGUAGGGGGCAAGCGUUGUCCGGAAUUAUUGGGCGUAAAGCGCGCGCAGGCGGUCAUUUAAGUCUGGUGUUUAAACCUUGGGCUCAACCUGAGGUCGCACUGGAAACUGGGUGACUUGAGUACAGAAGAGGAAAGUGGAAUUCCACGUGUAGCGGUGAAAUGCGUAGAUAUGUGGAGGAACACCAGUGGCGAAGGCGACUUUCUGGGCUGUAACUGACGCUGAGACGCGAAAGCGUGGGGAGCGAACAGG